This 485-nucleotide ribosomal RNA is filed under the name uncultured bacterium. RNAcentral describes it as "bacterial SSU rRNA". It matches the Rfam family "Bacterial small subunit ribosomal RNA", at positions 32 to 494 of the family's 1533-position model. The record is from RNAcentral.
AAUCAACGCUGGCGGCGUGCCUAACACGUGCAAGUCGAACGCGAGAGGGGCUUCGGCCCUGAUUGAGUGGCAAACGGGUGAGUAACGCGUGGGUGACCUACCUUCGAGUGGGGGAUAACGUUCCGAAAGGGACGCUAAUACCGCAUAACAUCCUGUCUUUGGACAGAUGGAGAUCAAAGCCGGGGAUCGUAAGACCUGGCGCUUGAGGAGGGGCCCGCGUCCGAUUAGCUAGUUGGUGGGGUAAGGCUCACCAAGGCAACGAUCGGUAGCCGGCCUGAGAGGGCGGACGGCCACACUGGGACUGAGACACGGCCCAGACUCCUACGGGAGGCAGCAGUGGGGAAUUGUUCGCAAUGGGCGCAAGCCUGACGACGCAACGCCGCGUGAAGGAUGAAGGUCUUCGGAUUGUAAACUUCUGUUGAUCGGGACGAACAGCCAAGGAUCAAUACCCCUUUGGCCCUGACGGUACCGAUUGAGGAAGCCCC